AUGCCGUCGAUGUUCUGGGCAGAGGCACUCCACACGGCCACAUAUUUACUCAAUAUUCGUCCAUCCAAAGUUAACCCACAAACUACUACUUACUUCUCUUUAUUUCUCUCUCAUCCAAAUUACUCCGACAUUCGCGUCUUCGGUUGUCUUUGUUUUCCAAACUCCUACUCCAAUUCUCCUAACAAACUUUCCCCGCGCUCUAUACUGUGUGUCCAUCUAGGUUUUUCUGACGAGCACAAGGGUUAUCGUUGUCUAGAUCUUGUUAGUGGUCGUGUUCAUGUGUCUCGUCAUGUAACAUUUGCUGAAAACAUUUUCCCCUUUUCCGAGCGUCAACAAUUAGAUUCCAACUCACCCGCGCCGUCCACUGGUCCCUCUCGUCGCAAUCAUCUUCCCUUCUUUCACCCGCCGACCAAUCCAGCGAAACCAGCCGCAAUAGCAGAUCCUGCCACCACCACUUAUGUCAUCACCUCUGUCUCGGCAGAAGAAAACACAUUACACUCUGAUGCGGCAGACUUCCUGCAGCCGCAGUCUUCACCACCAUCCCCCGCGUCUGCUUCCUCUGCUGCGCCGGACGCGUCCACCACCUCUUCCCCCACCCCUCCUGCUCAUGCUAUUCCCGUUCCAGCUCCUACUAACGAUCAUACCAUGCACACACGUGCCAAGUCCGGGUUUCGUUUACCUGCAAAAGAUCGUCUCAAUCUUCAUGCAUCUUUAUCUCCUUUCUCUCUACCCAAAUCUUACAAAUCAGCUCUCCUAGAUCCUAAUUGGGCCGCAGCUAUGAAAGAUGAAUAUGAUGCCCUUCUACAGAAUAACAUUCCUCCUAUCCUAAUCAUGUUUGUCUUCUUCAAAAAUCUCUUUAUGGUCUUAAACAAGCACCACGUGCUUGGUUCCAACGUUUUUCUACUUAUGCUCAAACCAUUGGUUUUACCCCUUCCCGUUCUGACACUUCACUCUUCACCUUUCAUUACAACAACAACACUACUUACCUUCUUUUAUAUGUUGAUGAUAUUAUCCUCACAGCUUCCUCACAAUAAUUUUUAG
Molecule: ribosomal RNA, 1041 nt
Filed under: Triticum aestivum (bread wheat)
Lineage: Eukaryota; Viridiplantae; Streptophyta; Magnoliopsida; Poales; Poaceae
Description: partial small subunit ribosomal RNA
Source: RNAcentral